AGUGAACGCUGGCGGUAGGCCUAACACAUGCAAGUUGAACGGCAGCACAGUAAGAGCUUGCUCUUACGGGUGGCGAGUGGCGGACGGGUGAGGAAUACAUCGGAAUCUACUUUUUCGUGGGGGGUAACGUAGGGAAACUUACGCUAAUACCGCAUACGACCUACGGGUGAAAGCAGGGGAUCUUCGGACCUUGCGCGAUUGAAUGAGCCGAUGUCGGAUUAGCUAGUUGGCGGGGUAAAGGCCCACCAAGGCGACGAUCCGUAGCUGGUCUGAGAGGAUGAUCAGCCACACUGGAACUGAGACACGGUCCAGACUCCUACGGGAGGCAGCAGUGGGGAAUAUUGGACAAUGGGCGCAAGCCUGAUCCAGCCAUACCGCGUGGGUGAAGAAGGCCUUCGGGUUGUAAAGCCCUUUUGUUGGGAAAGAAAAGCAGCAGGUUAAUACCCCGCUGUUCUGACGGUACCCAAAGAAUAAGCACCGGCUAACUUCGUG
RNAcentral lists this ribosomal RNA (492 nucleotides) under uncultured bacterium. RNAcentral's name for it is "partial 16S ribosomal RNA". It matches the Rfam family "Bacterial small subunit ribosomal RNA", at positions 29 to 507 of the family's 1533-position model. The record is from RNAcentral.